This 576-nucleotide ribosomal RNA is filed under the name Saccharomyces cerevisiae (brewer's yeast). RNAcentral describes it as "partial large subunit ribosomal RNA". It matches the Rfam family "Eukaryotic large subunit ribosomal RNA", at positions 77 to 669 of the family's 3401-position model. Lineage: Eukaryota; Fungi; Ascomycota; Saccharomycetes; Saccharomycetales; Saccharomycetaceae. The record is from RNAcentral.
GCCUUAGUACGGCGAGUGAGCGGCAAAAGCUCAAAUUUGAAAUCUGGUACCUUCGGUGCCCGAGUUGUAAUUUGGAGAGGGCAACUUUGGGGCCGUUCCUUGUCUAUGUUCCUUGGAACAGGACGUCAUAGAGGGUGAGAAUCCCGUGUGGCGAGGAGUGCGGUUCUUUGUAAAGUGCCUUCGAAGAGUCGAGUUGUUUGGGAAUGCAGCUCUAAGUGGGUGGUAAAUUCCAUCUAAAGCUAAAUAUUGGCGAGAGACCGAUAGCGAACAAGUACAGUGAUGGAAAGAUGAAAAGAACUUUGAAAAGAGAGUGAAAAAGUACGUGAAAUUGUUGAAAGGGAAGGGCAUUUGAUCAGACAUGGUGUUUUGUGCCCUCUGCUCCUUGUGGGUAGGGGAAUCUCGCAUUUCACUGGGCCAGCAUCAGUUUUGGUGGCAGGAUAAAUCCAUAGGAAUGUAGCUUGCCUCGGUAAGUAUUAUAGCCUGUGGGAAUACUGCCAGCUGGGACUGAGGACUGCGACGUAAGUCAAGGAUGCUGGCAUAAUGGUUAUAUGCCGCCCGUCUUGAACCACGGACCCA